GACGAACGCUGGCGGCGUGCUUAACACAUGCAAGUCGAACGGUGAAGCUCCAGCUUGCUGGAGUGGAUCAGUGGCGAACGGGUGAGUAACACGUGAGCAACCUGCCCCUGACUCUGGAAUAAGCGCUGGAAACGGCGUCUAAUACUGGAUAUGAGAAGGGUCCGCAUGGACACUUUCUGGAAAGUUUUUCGGUUGGGGAUGGGCUCGCGGCCUAUCAGCUUGUUGGUGAGGUAAUGGCUCACCAAGGCGACGACGGGUAGCCGGCCUGAGAGGGCGACCGGCCACACUGGGACUGAGACACGGCCCAGACUCCUACGGGAGGCAGCAGUGGGGAAUAUUGCACAAUGGGCGAAAGCCUGAUGCAGCGACGCCGCGUGAGGGAUGACGGCCUUCGGGUGGUAAACCUCUUUCAGCAGGGAAGAAGCGAAAGUGACGGUACCUGCAGAAGAAGCACCGGCUAACUACGU
This 467-nucleotide ribosomal RNA is filed under the name uncultured bacterium. RNAcentral describes it as "partial 16S ribosomal RNA". It matches the Rfam family "Bacterial small subunit ribosomal RNA", at positions 28 to 506 of the family's 1533-position model. The record is from RNAcentral.